GUCUACGUAGCUUAAACCACCCCCAAAGCAAGACACUGAAAAUGCCUAGAUGGAUUCACACAUCCCAUAGACA
RNAcentral lists this transfer RNA (73 nucleotides) under Chlorocebus pygerythrus (vervet). RNAcentral describes it as "partial tRNA-Phe". The record is from RNAcentral. Lineage: Eukaryota; Metazoa; Chordata; Mammalia; Primates; Cercopithecidae.